GGAUUCCCCUAGUAGCGGCGAGCGAAGCGGGAAGAGCUCAAAUUUAUAAUCUGGCACCUUCGGUGUCCGAGUUGUAAUCUCUAGAAAUGUUUUCCGCGUUGGACCGCACACAAGUCUGUUGGAAUACAGCGGCAUAGUGGUGAGACCCCCGUAUAUGGUGCGGACGCCCAGCGCUUUGUGAUACAUUUUCGAAGAGUCGAGUUGUUUGGGAAUGCAGCUCAAAUUGGGUGGUAAAUUCCAUCUAAAGCUAAAUAUUGGCGAGAGACCGAUAGCGAACAAGUACCGUGAGGGAAAGAUGAAAAGCACUUUGGAAAGAGAGUUAACAGUACGUGAAAUUGUUGGAAGGGAAACGCUUGAAGUCAGACUUGCUUGCCGAGCAAUCGGUUUGCAGGCCAGCAUCAGUUUUCCGGGAUGGAUAAUGGUAGAGAGAAGGUAGCAGUUUCGGCUGUGUUAUAGCUCUCUGCUGGAUACAUCUUGGGGGACUGAGGAACGCAGUGUGCCUUUGGCGGGGGUUUCGACCUCUUCACACUUAGGAUGCUGGUGGAAUGGCUUUAAACGACCCGUCUUGAAACACGGACCUCCUGUGUGAA
This 590-nucleotide ribosomal RNA is filed under the name Rhodotorula mucilaginosa. RNAcentral describes it as "eukaryotic LSU rRNA". It matches the Rfam family "Eukaryotic large subunit ribosomal RNA", at positions 72 to 664 of the family's 3401-position model. The record is from RNAcentral. Lineage: Eukaryota; Fungi; Basidiomycota; Microbotryomycetes; Sporidiobolales; Sporidiobolaceae.